This 465-nucleotide ribosomal RNA is filed under the name Vreelandella stevensii. RNAcentral describes it as "partial 16S ribosomal RNA". It matches the Rfam family "Bacterial small subunit ribosomal RNA", at positions 338 to 795 of the family's 1533-position model. Lineage: Bacteria; Pseudomonadati; Pseudomonadota; Gammaproteobacteria; Oceanospirillales; Halomonadaceae. The record is from RNAcentral.
CCUACGGGAGACAGCAGUGGGGAAUAUUGGACAAUGGGCGAAAGCCUGAUCCAGCCAUGCCGCGUGUGUGAAGAAGGCCUUCGGGUUGUAAAGCACUUUCAGUGGGGAAGAAAGCCUUGGGGCUAAUACCCUCGAGGAAGGACAUCACCCACAGAAGAAGCACCGGCUAACUCCGUGCCAGCAGCCGCGGUAAUACGGAGGGUGCGAGCGUUAAUCGGAAUUACUGGGCGUAAAGCGCGCGUAGGCGGUCUGAUAAGCCGGUUGUGAAAGCCCCGGGCUCAACCUGGGAACGGCAUCCGGAACUGUCAGGCUAGAGUGCAGGAGAGGAAGGUAGAAUUCCCGGUGUAGCGGUGAAAUGCGUAGAGAUCGGGAGGAAUACCAGUGGCGAAGGCGGCCUUCUGGACUGACACUGACGCUGAGGUGCGAAAGCGUGGGUAGCAAACAGGAUUAGAUACCCUAGUAGUC